AGAGUUUGAUCCUGGCUCAGAUUGAACGCUGGCGGCAUGCCUUACACAUGCAAGUCGAACGGCAGCGCGGACUUCGGUCUGGCGGCGAGUGGCGAACGGGUGAGUAAUGCAUCGGAACGUACCUUUCAGUGGGGGAUAACGUAGCGAAAGUUACGCUAAUACCGCAUAUUCUGUGAGCAGGAAAGCAGGGGAUCGCAAGACCUUGCGCUGAUGGAGCGGCCGAUGUCAGAUUAGCUAGUUGGUGGGGUAACGGCUCACCAAGGCGACGAUCUGUAGCGGGUCUUAGAGGAUGAUCCGCCACACUGGAACUGAGACACGGUCCAGACUCCUACGGGAGGCAGCAGUGGGGAAUUUUGGACAAUGGGCGCAAGCCUGAUCCAGCCAUGCCGCGUGAGUGAAGAAGGCCUUCGGGUUGUAAAGCUCUUUCGGCCGGGAAAAAAUCGCUUGGGUUAAUACCCUGAGUGGAUGAUGGUACCGGAAUAAGAAGCACCGGCUAACUACGUGCCAGCAGCCGCGGUAAUACGUAGGGUGCGAGCGUUAAUCGGAAUUACUGGGCGUAAAGCGUGCGCAGGCGGUUUUGUAAGACAGGCGUGAAAUCCCCGGGCUCAACCUGGGAACUGCGUUUGUGACUGCAAGGCUAGAGUAUGGCAGAGGGGGGUGGAAUUCCACGUGUAGCAGUGAAAUGCGUAGAGAUGUGGAGGAACACCAAUGGCGAAGGCAGCCCCCUGGGCCAAUACUGACGCUCAUGCACGAAAGCGUGGGGAGCAAACAGGAUUAGAUACCCUGGUAGUCCACGCCCUAAACGAUGUCAACUAGGUGUUGGGUGGGUAAAACCAUUUGGUACCGUAGCUAACGCGUGAAGUUGACCGCCUGGGGAGUACGGCCGCAAGGUUAAAACUCAAAGGAAUUGACGGGGACCCGCACAAGCGGUGGAUGAUGUGGAUUAAUUCGAUGCAACGCGAAAAACCUUACCUACCCUUGACAUGCCAGGAACUUGCCAGAGAUGGCUUGGUGCCCGAAAGGGAGCCUGGACACAGGUGCUGCAUGGCUGUCGUCAGCUCGUGUCGUGAGAUGUUGGGUUAAGUCCCGCAACGAGCGCAACCCUUGUCGUUAAUUGCCAUCAUUUAGUUGGGCACUUUAACGAGACUGCCGGUGACAAACCGGAGGAAGGUGGGGAUGACGUCAAGUCCUCAUGGCCCUUAUGGGUAGGGCUUC
Molecule: ribosomal RNA, 1215 nt
Filed under: metagenome
Description: bacterial SSU rRNA
Rfam family: Bacterial small subunit ribosomal RNA
Source: RNAcentral